Myotis brandtii (Brandt's bat) is the source of this 98-nucleotide long non-coding RNA. RefSeq lists it as uncharacterized. NCBI's taxonomy places the organism in Eukaryota, Metazoa, Chordata, Mammalia, Chiroptera, Vespertilionidae. The transcript is spliced from 3 exons. The record is from RefSeq and is a predicted model, not a curated record.
CCUGACAAAAAAAUAUAGGUAUAAUUUUGAUGCAUUCACACAGGAUGGCUAUCAUUGUGUUGGCUCUUGUCAUUUUUUUUUUAUUUGACAAUCUUAAG